RNAcentral lists this ribosomal RNA (443 nucleotides) under uncultured soil bacterium. RNAcentral describes it as "bacterial SSU rRNA". It matches the Rfam family "Bacterial small subunit ribosomal RNA", at positions 26 to 518 of the family's 1533-position model. The record is from RNAcentral.
AGAACGAACGCUGGCGGCAUGCCUAAUACAUGCAAGUCGAACGAAGGCUCCGGCCUUAGUGGCGCACGGGUGCGUAACGCGUGGGAAUCUGCCCCUUGGUUCGGAAUAACAGUUGGAAACGACUGCUAAUACCGGAUGAUGACGAAAGUCCAAAGAUUUAUCGCCAAGGGAUGAGCCCGCGUAGGAUUAGCUAGUUGGUGAGGUAAAGGCUCACCAAGGCGACGAUCCUUAGCUGGUCUGAGAGGAUGAUCAGCCACACUGGGACUGAGACACGGCCCAGACUCCUACGGGAGGCAGCAGUAGGGAAUAUUGGACAAUGGGCGAAAGCCUGAUCCAGCAAUGCCGCGUGAGUGAUGAAGGCCUUAGGGUUGUAAAGCUCUUUACCCGAGAUGAUAAUGACAGUAUCGGAGAAUAAGCCCGGCUAACUCCGCGCCAGCAGCCGC